Molecule: long non-coding RNA, 724 nt
Filed under: Ananas comosus (pineapple)
Lineage: Eukaryota; Viridiplantae; Streptophyta; Magnoliopsida; Poales; Bromeliaceae
Description: long non-coding RNA (ACOM_LNC043250)
Source: RNAcentral
UCAUUUUGAUCCUCAAAACUAUUUAACUUCUCAAACUAUCUGGCCAACUCACACUUUAAUUUUUCAAAAUUUAAUUUAUUAUAACUUAUAUUAGAAAAAACUUUAAAUAUCACUCCUAUUGUUUGCACCUUUCAUUUUAAUAUCAUAUAAUUUAAAAUGUAUCACUUUAUUAUUCUAUGGUUUCGUUUUUCUCUUUCCGUUAUCUUCUUCGUUAAUUUUUUCGUUAAAUCAGUGAUAAAAUCAAAACCAUUGGGUAUUAAAAGUAAAAAUUUGAUAAACGACGGGAUACUAAAGUGAAUAUUAAAAAAACUAUAGGUGAGGUAUCUAAAAUUUCUUAAAUAUAUAUAUGAUUUAACGGAGAGUUAACGGAGGUGCUCAUAGAAAAAGAAAAAUAAAACCAUAGGGUAUUAAAAUGAUACACUUCAAACUAUAGAGUAAUAAAGUGAGAAAGUGUGAAACCAGAUAGGUGGUAUUUGAAGUUUAUCCUUUAUAUUAUUAAAAUUUUACAUAUUAUUAUAAUUUUAGUUUAUUAAAUAUUAACGUCUCGCCGAUAUAAAAUAGUAUGAUAUUUUAAUCAUUAUCCUAUCAUCAAUAAUAUCAUUAUCAAAUCACUUUUAUAUUGGCGACACAUUAAUAUUUCGUUAACUAUAUUUUUUUAAUUUGAUUGCAAUAAAUUAAAAAAUUUAAGUCUAAUAUUAUGAUAAAUUAAAAUUUUGAGAACUAA